UGCUAGAGCUGUUAGAACACUGGAAGGAAAACUACUUGUCUCCCUUUGGCUUCUGGAUCUAUCUGGAGAAUGCCACCCCAAACAGCAGGCCCCAUUUGUCUUGGGGAAUAGACUCUGAACUUGCUGGGAAUCUAUUCCAGAGGGUCUUGGAGAAGCCACACAGUACUGUGUAGCCCAUAACUCAGCUGGUUCAAACCUGGGGCACCUUCAGAUUGGGAGAUUUUUCCUCAUCUAAGUUGCUGGCAUUACAAGAUGGAUGAAGCUGGAUCACUGAAUGACAGCAGGAAACAGAGAAUCCCUAUCCCUGCAGAUCAC
Canis lupus familiaris (dog) is the source of this 315-nucleotide long non-coding RNA. RefSeq lists it as uncharacterized. Lineage: Eukaryota; Metazoa; Chordata; Mammalia; Carnivora; Canidae. The record is from RefSeq and is a predicted model, not a curated record. The transcript has 3 exons.